This is a long non-coding RNA of Zophobas morio, 169 nucleotides long. RefSeq lists it as uncharacterized. The record is from RefSeq and is a predicted model, not a curated record. The transcript has 3 exons. NCBI's taxonomy places the organism in Eukaryota, Metazoa, Arthropoda, Insecta, Coleoptera, Tenebrionidae.
UUAGUUAAGUCAAGAAUGGAUGACGUUACAACUCACGACUAUAAAACAAACACUGAAAACUUGAACUCUCUUAUGGCAGAAAUGGUUACAAAUGCUAAGCAACUGGAAACUGCAUUGUUAAGUUUAAAGAAUUAUUGUACGAGUUAUCCCCUUCAGCAACUUGAAGCUC